CCUACGGAGGCUGCAGUGGGGAAUAUUGGACAAUGGGCGAAAGCCUGAUCCAGCCAUGCCGCGUGUGUGAAGAAGGCCUUCGGGUUGUAAAGCACUUUCAGUGGGGAAGAAAGCCUUGGGGCUAAUACCCUCGAGGAAGGACAUCACCCACAGAAGAAGCACCGGCUAACUCCGUGCCAGCAGCCGCGGUAAUACGGAGGGUGCGAGCGUUAAUCGGAAUUACUGGGCGUAAAGCGCGCGUAGGCGGUCUGAUAAGCCGGUUGUGAAAGCCCCGGGCUCAACCUGGGAACGGCAUCCGGAACUGUCAGGCUAGGGUGCAGGAGAGGAAGGUAGAAUUCCCGGUGUAGCGGUGAAAUGCGUAGAGAUCGGGAGGAAUACCAGUGGCGAAGGCGGCCUUCUGGACUGACACUGACGCUGAGGUGCGAAAGCGUGGGUAGCAAACAGGAUUAGAUACCCCUGUAGUC
RNAcentral lists this ribosomal RNA (464 nucleotides) under Vreelandella stevensii. Its description in RNAcentral is "partial 16S ribosomal RNA". It matches the Rfam family "Bacterial small subunit ribosomal RNA", at positions 338 to 795 of the family's 1533-position model. The record is from RNAcentral. Lineage: Bacteria; Pseudomonadati; Pseudomonadota; Gammaproteobacteria; Oceanospirillales; Halomonadaceae.